Molecule: ribosomal RNA, 389 nt
Filed under: uncultured bacterium
Lineage: Bacteria
Description: bacterial SSU rRNA
Rfam family: Bacterial small subunit ribosomal RNA
Source: RNAcentral
AUUGAACGCUGGCGGAAUGCUUUACACAUGCAAGUCGAGCGGCAGCACGGGGGGCAACCCUGGUGGCGAGCGGCGAACGGGUGAGUAACACAUCGGAACGUACCCUGUCGUGGGGGAUAACGAGUCGAAAGAUUCGCUAAUACCGCAUACGACCCGAGGGUGAAAGCGGGGGAUCGCAAGACCUCGCGCGACUGGAGCGGCCGAUGGCGGAUUAGCUAGUUGGUGGGGGUAAAGGCCCACCAAGGCGACGAUCCGUAGCGGGUCUGAGAGGACGGCCCGCCACACUGGGACUGAGACACGGCCCAGACUCCUACGGGAGGCAGCAGUGGGGAAUUUUGGACAAUGGGGGGCAACCCUGAUCCAGCCAUUCCGCGUGAGUGAAGAAGGCC